Molecule: ribosomal RNA, 485 nt
Filed under: uncultured bacterium
Lineage: Bacteria
Description: partial 16S ribosomal RNA
Rfam family: Bacterial small subunit ribosomal RNA
Source: RNAcentral
AUUCAACGCUGGCUGCAGGUCUAACACAUGCCAGUCGAGCGGAUGAAGGGAGCUUGCUCCUGGAUUCAGCGGCGGACGGGUGAGUAAUGCCUAGGAAUCUGCCUGGUAGUGGGGGAUAACGUCCGGAAACGGGCGCUAAUACCGCAUACGUCCUGAGGGAGAAAGUGGGGGAUCUUCGGACCUCACGCUAUCAGAUGAGCCUAGGUCGGACUAGCUAGUUGGUGGGGUAAAGGCCUACCAAGGCGACGAUCCGUAACUGGUCUGAGAGGAUGAUCAGUCACACUGGAACUGAGACGCGGUCCAGACUCCUACGAGAGGCAGCAGUGGGGAAUAUUGGACAAUGGGCGAAAGCCUGAUCCAGCCAUGCCGCGUGUGUGAAGAAGGUCUUCGGAUUUGUAAAGCACUUUAAGUUGGGAGGAAGGGCAGUAAGUUAAUACCUUGCUGUUUUGACGUUGCCAACAGAAUGAGCACCGGCUAACUUCGUG